Molecule: ribosomal RNA, 600 nt
Filed under: uncultured bacterium
Lineage: Bacteria
Description: partial 16S ribosomal RNA
Rfam family: Bacterial small subunit ribosomal RNA (bases 1-364)
Source: RNAcentral
GGUGAUAUGUCUGACUGCUGAUGAGGAUACUACUGAAACGGUAGUAUACGNUACGUCGCAGACAAGAGGGGACUUCGGCNCUUGCCUCAUUGCCCAUGAUACUUAGUGGGUAACGGUCACUAGGAGAUCUACUGUCUGAAGGNUGACACCCUGGAAUGAAACACGGUCAAUCUAAGGAGGAGGGAAUAUUGCACAUGGGCGCAAGCCUGAUGAAGCCAUGCCGCGUGUUUAAAAAAGGCCUCGGGUUGUAAAGUACUUCACCGGGGAGGAAGGUGUUGUGGUUAUAACCACAGCAAUGACGUUACCCGCAGAAAAACACCGGCUACUCCGUGCCAGAAGCCGGGUAUACNGAGGGUGCAGCGCUUAAUCGGGAAUUACUUGGGACGUAAAGACGCACGCAAGCGGUCUGUCAAAGUCNGAUUGUUGAAAAUUCCCCCGGGGAUUCAAACCCUGGGGGAAACUGCAUUCCGAAAAANUGGGCAGGGACUUAAAAGAUCCUUUGGUAACAAGGGGGGGGUUAAAAAAAUUUCCCACGNGGUGUUAACACGGUGAAAAAAUGGGCGUUUAAGACACGAANUCCUGGGGAAGGGAAAAUUACAC